CAAAGAUCCAUUCCCUUGGGUUAGGAGCUAACCUUUUCAAACAAGCCAUUGUUGGGCCUGAUAACUCAAAGUAGGUCUAUCAAUCCUUCACACCUUAGUGUGACUUUGCUGAAUGCAAAUAAUAAGUCCCUGAGGAAAAAGAAGGCUUGAGUGGGGACCUGACACAAAGAUUCUGGCCUCUGAGAGCUUCAGAAGUAAGGCCUUACCUACUCUGAGAAGGGAAGGCAAGAUUAAGGUAAAAGGGAAAUGGGAGAAGAAUAAUGGCAAAAUGGAGUUGUUUGACAAUUUCCUAAAGUGAAAGGUAAGGUUAUUUAACUAGAUAGGAAGAAACACACUAUAAUGAUAUGAUUAUUGUCAACUUUUAUUUUCUUCUUUCUCCUACACUUUUUUUUUAGGGGGUACGGGAAUUGAAACUUAGACUGCCUACAUGUGAAGCAGGUGCUCAACUACUAAGCUGCAUGUGCUCCACUCUUCCUCCUUUUUUAAAAGCUAUUGAAACACUUAAGUCAGAUUUUCUGAGGAAAAUCCCUGAAUCCCAACUGGUUCAGUGGCAGAGCCAAGAUAUUCCAACGCUGUCCUCAGCCCUUCUGGGGGAGUCAAGAAGACCCUGAGCUAGAAGGAUGCAGGGGAAGUGCGUGUCGGCUGUGGAAAUGUCACGACAUCAAGAGCUGGGUGGACAAAGCUGCACAUGCCAGGAGUUACUGGAGAUCAAACCCGGGAGGCAGAUGCUUUGCCACUUGAGCUACAUCUACUGCCUAAGAUGGACUUUGAUGGACCCAGCUUGCGAAUUCUGCUGGGCCUUAUCAGAGUUUGUAGAAGAAAACAGCUGAGGAUUGAGCACAGUGAACUAUUUCCUCACAUUUUUCAAUAAGCAAUAGUUGGUGCAAAGGAAUGUAAACAUUCUAUGAUAAAAGGAGUUCAAAAAGAAGCCCUAAAUCCUUAAAAUUAAGAAACCAAUAAACCAAAACAUAAAACUGCACGACUAUUUGCAUGGCUGACAAGAAGAAGAAAAAGAAUUUCAGAUAUCUGUUUGAAGAAGUGAACAAUAAAACAAGUAUAUUUAAAAUUAAGAUUAUAUUAAAUGCUGUACAAUAGAAAAAAUAUAGAAGACACCACAUAAAAGAAAGUAAAAGUAAGCUUUUAUUGUCAGAGGACAUCUUUAAGAAUCAUGAUUCAAGGUAAUAUUACUUCCCUUAUUUCUGAUCCAUUGCCCACAAAGCCUGAAUUUUUCCUUUUUUUAUGAACUUGUCUUGUAUCUUUCACCUUUCCCUGUUUGUCAGGGCAUCUCAGAAAGCAUCCUUUUAAAAAUUACUUAUUUCUUACAUGCCACAGCUCUGGUUACAUGUUUUUCAGUUGUUAACACUUGCACUGAACUCUCAGCAGCCCUCUUUGUUUACUUACAGAGUUAUCCUUCAUUUUAUGAAGAUGAUACUACCAUGCAGCCAUCAAUAUUAGACAAUUCAGGUUGUUUUCUGGAAGUGAUGAUGGAUUUACAUUACCUACUCAUAUUUUCCAGGAUGGUUCCCCAGAAACUGUGGACAUUAAUUGAAACAAAGGGUUUCUCAGGGUUAAGUAUAUUAGAAUAGAGCAGUGAUUCUUAAAUUUUGCUGCAUGUCAGAAUCAUUUGGGGAGUUUAUGUUUUGCUAUCCAGGCCACAUCCCUUAACCAUUAAAUCCAAAUUUCCAGGUAAGGUACCCAAGCCUCAGGUUUGUAAAUUUUAAUCUAUUAUUAGGGAUAUGUGUCUAUAGUCUUUUCUUGUAAUAUCUUUUUCUUAAACAGCUUUAUAGAGGUAUAUUAAUGUAGGUUCUGACAUAUGUUUGUAUCUGUGAAACCACCACCAUAGUCAAGGUUUUGAAUAUAUCCAUGUUUCAUCAUGUCCCUUUGUAAUUUCUUCCUCCUAUCUUCUCUGCCAUCC
Dasypus novemcinctus (nine-banded armadillo) is the source of this 1915-nucleotide long non-coding RNA. The record is from Ensembl. NCBI's taxonomy places the organism in Eukaryota, Metazoa, Chordata, Mammalia, Cingulata, Dasypodidae.